GAACGCUGGCGGCGUGCCUAAUACAUGCAAGUCGAACGGUCUUUCUAUGGAAGCUUGCUCCCACUGAGAAGAUAGUGGCGAACGGGUGAGUAACACGUGGGUAACCUGCCCAUAAGAGGGGGAUAACAUCCGGAAACGGGUGCUAAUACCGCAUAGUUUUCUUGAUCGCAUGAUUGAGAAAGGAAAGACGGCCUUUGUGCUGUCGCUUAUGGAUGGACCCGCGGCGUAUUAGUUAGUUGGUGAGGUAACGGCUCACCAAGACGAUGAUACGUAGCCGACCUGAGAGGGUGAUCGGCCACAUUGGGACUGAGACACGGCCCAAACUCCUACGGGAGGCAGCAGUAGGGAAUCUUCCGCAAUGGGCGAAAGUCUGACGGAGCAACGCCGCGUGAGUGAAGAAAGGUUUUCGGAUCGUAAAACUCUGUUGUCAGAGAAGAACAAGUUGGAGAGUAACUGCUCCAGCCUUGACGGUAUCUGACCAGAAAGCCACGGCUAACUACGUGCCAGCAGCCGC
This 514-nucleotide ribosomal RNA is filed under the name uncultured bacterium. RNAcentral describes it as "bacterial SSU rRNA". It matches the Rfam family "Bacterial small subunit ribosomal RNA", at positions 31 to 518 of the family's 1533-position model. The record is from RNAcentral.